UAUGUGAUCGUCUCUCGCAUAUCAAUAAGCGGAGGAAAAGAAACUAACAAGGAUUCCCCUAGUAACGGCGAGUGAAGCGGGAAGAGCUCAAAUUUGAAAUCUUAAAGGGUUUCCCUUUACGAAUUGUAGUUUAAAGAAGUGUUUUCUGUUGAGGUUUUGGUAAAAGUUCUUUGGAAUAGGACAUCAUAGAGGGUGAGAAUCCCGUAUUUGACCUUUACUUUCAACUUUGUGAUACACUUUCAAAGAGUCGGAUUGUUUGGGAAUGCAGUCCAAAAUGGGUGGUAAAUUUCAUCUAAAGCUAAAUAUUGGCGAGAGACCGAUAGCGAACAAGUACCGUGAGGGAAAGAUGAAAAGAACUUUGAAAAGAGAGUUAAACAGUACGUGAAAUUGUCAAAAGGGAAGCGUUCGACACCAGUGUUGUUUUUCUGAAAAUCAAUUAAAGAACUGUUUAUGCUAAGUUGUUUAGACUUUAUCAGCUAUCUGUUUAGUUUUGAGCUUUUCUUUAAUGCACUUUUCAGUUAACAAGUCAACAUCAAUUUCUUUUGCUGUAAAAAAGCUUGAGGAAGGUGGCUUGAGAUUCGUCUUAAGUGUUUAUAGCCUCUUGCCUAUGCAGUCGGAGAGAUUGAGGUCUGCAGCGUAGAUCCUUCGGGGCUAAAUGCAUUUGUGCUAAGUUAUAGCAUUUUAUAGACAACUUGUUGACUAUGAUUUGUCUUGUAGCUUACUCGCUUAUGUUAUUUUACCUACGCUUAGGAUGUUGAAGUCAUCGUAUCGCGC
This 774-nucleotide ribosomal RNA is filed under the name uncultured Neocallimastigales. Its description in RNAcentral is "partial large subunit ribosomal RNA". It matches the Rfam family "Eukaryotic large subunit ribosomal RNA", at positions 24 to 645 of the family's 3401-position model. The record is from RNAcentral. Lineage: Eukaryota; Fungi; Neocallimastigomycota; Neocallimastigomycetes; Neocallimastigales.